AAAUAGGCAUAAUGUUAGAAUUGCCCACUUUACCAAAAUCAGAAAAAUAAGAAAUUAGUGACCUUAGAGAGAGAGAGGAAGCGCGAGGGAGAAAGAGAAGGGAGAGGAGAAUCAAGAACAAAAGUAAUCAACCUUAGGAGAGUAAUUUUGCUAUGAGGAAAUGAGAUUUUCAGAUAGGUGAUGAGUCAUAGUUACCGAGUUCGGGGAGCUUGUCCCUUGCUGUUUCAAUAAUUGAGUCGCUCUGAUAGGAUGUCUUGGGGAAUUCACAUAUAUAUUCCAUUAGUAUUUCUUCGAAAUGACUUAAACAGUGUCAAUUGGUUUUUUUGGGAAUGAUUCCAUUGCUCUCUUUAAUUUUUGAUUUCAAAUUUUAGAACUUAUGUUUAUUGGUUUUAAUUUUAUUUCUGCUGCUUAAUCCUUA
Trifolium pratense (red clover) is the source of this 418-nucleotide long non-coding RNA. RefSeq lists it as uncharacterized. The transcript has 2 exons. Lineage: Eukaryota; Viridiplantae; Streptophyta; Magnoliopsida; Fabales; Fabaceae. The record is from RefSeq and is a predicted model, not a curated record.